This 164-nucleotide ribosomal RNA is filed under the name uncultured bacterium. Its description in RNAcentral is "partial 16S rRNA". It matches the Rfam family "Bacterial small subunit ribosomal RNA", at positions 355 to 511 of the family's 1533-position model. The record is from RNAcentral.
UAGGGAAUCUUCCACAAUGGACGAAAGUCUGAUGGAGCAACGCCGCGUGAGUGAAGAAGGUUUUCGGAUCGUAAAACUCUGUUGUUGGAGAAGAACGUAUUUGAUAGUAACUGAUCAGGUAGUGACGGUAUCCAACCAGAAAGCCACGGCUAACUACGUGCCGG